RNAcentral lists this ribosomal RNA (284 nucleotides) under uncultured bacterium. Its description in RNAcentral is "partial 16S ribosomal RNA". It matches the Rfam family "Bacterial small subunit ribosomal RNA", at positions 524 to 805 of the family's 1533-position model. The record is from RNAcentral.
GACAGAGGGUGCAAACGUUGUUCGGAAUUACUGGGCGUAAAGCGCGUGUAGGCUGCUCUGUGUGUCGGAUGUGAAAGCCCCGGGCUCAACCUGGGAAGUGCACUCGAAACUACAGAGCUGGAGUCUCGGAGAGGAUCGCGGAAUUCUCGGUGUAGAGGUGAAAUUCGUAGAUAUCGAGAGGAACACCGGUGGCGAAGGCGGCGAUCUGGACGAUGACUGACGCUGAGACGCGAAAGCGUGGGGAGCAAACAGGAUUAAGAAACCCUGGGUAGUCCAAGAACCGA